ACAGCCAUUUCACACUGAAACACCGCUUCCGUACAAUUACCAAAGUCAAGCAACGUCGAGCCUGGUCAUUACCUAGAUGGGUGACCGCUUGGGAAUACCAGGUGCUGUAAG
Molecule: non-coding RNA, 111 nt
Organism: Acanthosepion pharaonis
Lineage: Eukaryota; Metazoa; Mollusca; Cephalopoda; Sepiida; Sepiidae
Source: the annotation of a GenBank genome assembly